UCAUACUUACCUUGCCUUCCCCCCACCCUCGGGCCUCCCCCGGUAAGAAGAUAAGCAUCUUUGGGAGUGAGAAUUUUUAAAUAAGAUUGUUUAUGAAUCAAGGAACAGUUAUUAAUACCUAAAGUGCAUUCAUAUGGUGAUUGUUUUCUGGUGAUGAGAAUGAGAAGUGUUAUUUCUCUAUUAAAUUAUGGAAGCUACUAUAUUAUGCACGCCAUACUGAUGUGCCAGCUCUGUUUCUCUCUACUCACAGUGAUGCUUGGAGUUUCAUUUUCAAACCUGAUACCUCCAUAAAUUGGCCUGAAUGUUUUGUGCGUACAUGAGUAU
Molecule: long non-coding RNA, 324 nt
Filed under: Bos taurus (domestic cattle)
Lineage: Eukaryota; Metazoa; Chordata; Mammalia; Artiodactyla; Bovidae
Description: long non-coding RNA NONBTAT011296
Source: RNAcentral